UGCCAGACUCCUACGGGAGGCAGCAGUGGGGAAUAUUGCACAAUGGGGGGAACCCUGAUGCAGCGACGCCGCGUGGGUGAAGGAGCACCUCGGUGCGUAAAGCCCUAUCGGCAGGGAAGAAAAGCGAACAGGUUCGCCUGGACGGUACCUGACUAAGAAGCCCCGGCUAACUACGUGCCAGCAGCCGCGGUAAUACGUAGGGGGCAAGCGUUAUCCGGAUUCACUGGGUGUAAAGGGAGCGUAGACGGCGACGCAAGUCUGGAGUGAAAGCCCGGGGCCCAACCCCGGGACUGCUCUGGAAACUGCGUGGCUGGAGUACGGGAGGGGCAGGCGGAAUUCCUGGUGUAGCGGUGAAAUGCGUAGAUAUCAGGAGGAACACCGGCGGCGAAGGCGGCCUGCUGGACCGUGACUGACGUUGAGGCUCGAGAGCGUGGGGAGCAAACAGGAUUAGAUACCCCUGUA
Molecule: ribosomal RNA, 462 nt
Filed under: uncultured bacterium
Lineage: Bacteria
Description: bacterial SSU rRNA
Rfam family: Bacterial small subunit ribosomal RNA
Source: RNAcentral